This is a non-coding RNA of Ictidomys tridecemlineatus (thirteen-lined ground squirrel), 71 nucleotides long. Lineage: Eukaryota; Metazoa; Chordata; Mammalia; Rodentia; Sciuridae. The record is from Rfam.
UGGGGUGUAGCUCAGUGGGAAAGCAUAUGCAUUGCAUGUAUGAGACCUGGAUUUGAUCCCCAGCACUGCAA